CAGCCGUAAACUAUGCGCGUUAGGUGUACUGGUGACCACGAGUCACCGGGGUGCCGAAGGGAAACCGUGAAACGUGCCGCCUGGGAAGUACGGUCGCAAGGCUGAAGCUUAAAGGAAUUGGCGGGGGAGCACCACAACGGGUGGAGCCUGCGGUUUAAUUGGACUCAACGCCGGAAAUCUCACCGGAUAGGACAGACAUAUGAUAGUCGGGCUGAAGACUCUACUUGAUGAUCUGAGAGGAGGUGCAUGGCGUCAGUGACU
Molecule: ribosomal RNA, 261 nt
Filed under: uncultured archaeon
Lineage: Archaea
Description: partial 16S ribosomal RNA
Rfam family: Archaeal small subunit ribosomal RNA
Source: RNAcentral